AUUUCCAUAUAAAUUCCCGCCCUCUCCUUCGUCACAUCCUCUUGAAGUUGGUGUCAUCUCCCCGAGACACAUCUCCACAAGAUGAGAGCAAAGUGGAGGAAGAAGCGUAUGCGCAGGCUGAAGCGUAAAAGGAGAAAGAUGAGGCAGAGGUCUAAGUAGACUGGCCCAUCCACGGCAGCUGUGGGUCCCCUGUCCCCGACGAUCCAGUCCUCAAGUUCCUGUAGAUAUCCUUGGCUCAAAGGGCACCUGGAAGGACGGCAAACACCAGUACCAUCGCCAUGCCAUGCGCUGAGCGACCUGCUACAGUUUGCAUCAGGAGUCAUGUCAGGAUUUGGAGCUGGAGAGUUGUGGGAAUUCAGGACAUUUCUCGUUUUGGGGCUUACUUUGGAUUCAUGACAUCUAUCCAACACAGCUGGUGCGCUCCUGUAAUGACCAUAAUAAAAGUUCUGGUUUAUACACUUAA
Molecule: long non-coding RNA, 463 nt
Organism: Sardina pilchardus (European sardine)
Lineage: Eukaryota; Metazoa; Chordata; Actinopteri; Clupeiformes; Clupeidae
Exons: 4
Source: RefSeq, a predicted model, not a curated record